This 445-nucleotide ribosomal RNA is filed under the name uncultured soil bacterium. Its description in RNAcentral is "bacterial SSU rRNA". It matches the Rfam family "Bacterial small subunit ribosomal RNA", at positions 26 to 518 of the family's 1533-position model. The record is from RNAcentral.
AGAACGAACGCUGGCGGCAUGCCUAACACAUGCAAGUCGAACGAGACCUUCGGGUCUAGUGGCGCACGGGUGCGUAACGCGUGGGAAUCUGCCCUUGGGUACGGAAUAACAGUUAGAAAUGACUGCUAAUACCGUAUAAUGACUCCGGUCCAAAGAUUUAUCGCCCAGGGAUGAGCCCGCGUAGGAUUAGCUAGUUGGAGAGGUAAAGGCUCACCAAGGCGACGAUCCUUAGCUGGUCUGAGAGGAUGAUCAGCCACACUGGGACUGAGACACGGCCCAGACUCCUACGGGAGGCAGCAGUGGGGAAUAUUGGACAAUGGGCGAAAGCCUGAUCCAGCAAUGCCGCGUGAGUGAUGAAGGCCUUAGGUUGGAAAGCUCUUUUACCCGGGAUGAUAAUGACAGUACCGGAGAAUAAGCCCCGGCUAACCUCCGCGCCAGCAGCCGC